GGUCCCGUGGUGAAAUGGAUAUCAUACCGCCCUCCGAAGGCGGUGGUCUAGGUUCGAUUCCUAGCGGGACCGCCA
Molecule: transfer RNA, 75 nt
Filed under: Zetaproteobacteria bacterium
Lineage: Bacteria; Pseudomonadati; Pseudomonadota; Candidatius Mariprofundia
Description: tRNA-Arg
Rfam family: tRNA
About the family: Transfer RNA (tRNA) molecules are approximately 80 nucleotides in length. Their secondary structure includes four short double-helical elements and three loops (D, anti-codon, and T loops).
Source: RNAcentral